Molecule: unclassified non-coding RNA, 241 nt
Filed under: plant metagenome
Description: partial contains small subunit ribosomal RNA, internal transcribed spacer 1, and 5.8S ribosomal RNA
Source: RNAcentral
UUUCCGUAGGUGAACCAGCGGAAGGAUCAUUAAAGAGUAAGGGUGCUCAGCGCCCGACCUCCAACCCUUUUUUGUCAAAACUACCUUGUUGCUUUGGCGGGACCGCUCGGUCUCGAGCCGCUGGGGAUUCGUCCCAGGCGAGCGCCCGCCAGAGUUAAACCAAACUCUUGUUAUUUAACCGGUCGUCUGAGUUAAAAUUUUGAAUAAAUCAAAACUUUCAACAACGGAUCUCUUGGUUCUC